Molecule: ribosomal RNA, 235 nt
Filed under: uncultured bacterium
Lineage: Bacteria
Description: partial 16S ribosomal RNA
Rfam family: Bacterial small subunit ribosomal RNA
Source: RNAcentral
GAUCAUGGCUCAGGACGAACGCUGGCGGCGCGCCUAACACAUGCAAGUCGAACGAGCGAGUAGGGAGCUUGCUUUCUCGAGCGAGUGGCGAACGGGUGAGUAACGCGUGAGGAACCUGCCUCAAAGAGGGGGACAACAGUUGGAAACGACUGCUAAUACCGCAUAAGCCCACGGGUCGGCAUCGACCAGAGGGAAAAGGAGCAAUCCGCUUUGAGAUGGCCUCGCGUCCGAUUAG